This is a non-coding RNA of Labrus bergylta (ballan wrasse), 612 nucleotides long. The record is from RefSeq and is a predicted model, not a curated record. Lineage: Eukaryota; Metazoa; Chordata; Actinopteri; Labriformes; Labridae.
UAUGCCACAGCCCUGGUAGCACAGUAGUGCUAAGGUGCUAAUGCACGUUAGCUUGUGCAAAAAAACGGACUUGGAAAGAAGUUUCAGCUCCUACUCUCUGUGGCAGCUGUGGAGAUUCUGAUGCUUCUGGAAGUUCACAACUACAACAUAGUACAUCACAGCAGAUUACACAGACAACAAGCUCCAGUAUCGCAACGAGUGUACCAAGGUUCCAUGACGAGGUUGGGUGGCAGACAGACUCCCCACAAGUCUCAGAGGCCACACAGACAUACCUACCUCCAAAGGGGUCAUCAGUCCACACACAGUUGGCCUGGGGUACACUAAGGGACAAGCAAAGGACAGCUGGUCUAUAAGGUGGCAUUCCUCAAAUCCAAAAAAAAAACAGACACAACAUGCAGACGACACACGACAGGAUAACCACUCUGCAGUGUCCAAAGAAUCUCCAGCACCACCUCACAAAGCUGCGAUGAGCUGCCAAGUGUCUGCACAGCCUGUAUGGAGACAAUAUAGUUGGAUGUAAAAAUGUGACUUCUCAUUGUAUAUUUACACCUAUAGUUCUACACAUUUAAAUGGUUUUUUAACCUUAGCUGAGAAUAAAGAACUGUCAACAAA